GUGGUGCCAAGAUGGCCGCCCAGUGACAUCACGGUGACGUGGUGACAUCAGACCGAGGUGGCCACCGGGGGAGGUUGAAGCGGUUCCAAGAUGGCCGCCAAGGGGGUGUGGCACCGAGAUGGCGCCUGGUGACAUCAGAGUGGCCCCAAGAUGGCUGCUGGGGGGAGGCUUUGAGGGGAUGUGACACCAAGAUGGCGUCUGGUGACAUCACGGUGACCUGGUGACAUCAGAGUGACACCGAGAUGGCCACCAGGUGACGUUGAAGUGGCCCCAAGAUGGUCACAAAGGGGGGUGUGGUGCCAAGAUGGCCGCCCGGUGACAUCCAGGUGGCCUGGUGACAUCAGAGCGGCACCAAGAUGGCCGCCUGGUGACAUUGAGGAGGUGUGUCACCGAGAUGGUGGCCACCAGGUGACCAAGUGGCUCCAAGAUGGUGGCCCGGUGACAUCAGUGACGCUGAGGUGGCCACCAGGUGAGGUUGAAGUGGCCCCAAGAUGGUCGCCGAGGUGGGUGUGGCACCAAGAUGGCACCUGGUGACAUCAGAGUGGCACAAAAUGGCCGCUGAGGGGGUGUCAAGGGGGUGUGACACCAAGAUGGUGGCCUGGUGACAUCCCGGUGGCCUGGUGACAUCAGAGUGGCACCAAGAUGGCCGCCUGGUGACAUUGAGGAGGUGUGUCACCGAGAUGGUGGCCACCAGGUGACCAAGUGGCUCCAAGAUGGUGGCCCGAUGACAUCCUGGUGACAUCAGAGUGACACCGAGGUGGCCACCAGGGGAGGUUGAAGCGGCCCCAAGAUGGUCGCCGAGGUGGGUGUGGCUCCAAGAUGGCCGCCGCCGGGUGACAGUGACGGUGUCCCUGGGGUGUGUGGGGACAGGAGGUGACACGGGGACGGUGACAUCCGCGGGGGGGGACUUUAUUGGGGACACGCCCACGUCACGGGGACACGGGGACGGCGCUGUCACCGGGAGGGAUCCGUGUUGUCACCCGGGGGGUCCGUGUCACCUGUGGGCGCGGUGUCCGUGUCACCCGGGGGGUCCGAGGGUCCCCGUGUCACCCGGGGGCUCGGUGUCACCCACAUCCUGGUGUCACCCAUGGUCUUGGUGUCCCCAAGGGUCUCGGUGUCCCCCAGGGUCCCCACGUUCCCCACCGUCCCGGUGUCCCCAAGGUCCUCGGUGUCCCCCGUGGUCUUGGUGUCCCCGAGGGUCCCCGUGUCCCCAACAGUCCCAGUGUCACCCAAGGUCCCCGUGUCACCCCUGGUCCCGGUGUCCCCAAAGGUCUCUGUGUCCCCGGGGCCCUCGGUGUCACCUCCAGUCUCAGUGUCACCCGUGGCCCUGGUGUCCCCCAGGGGUCUCGGUGUCCCCAAGGUCCUCAGUGUCACCUGGGGGCUCGGUGUCCCCGAAAGUCCCCCUGUCCCCAACCAUCUCAGUGGCCCCAAAGGUCAGGGUGUCACCCAAGGUCCUGGUGUCCCCAAGGGUCCCGGUGUCCCCAACAGUCUCCGUGUCACCCAAGGUCCCCAUGUCACCCCUGGUCCCAGUGUCCCCAAAGGUCUCUGUGUCCCCGGGGCCCUCGGUGUCACCUCCAGUCUCAGUGUCACCCGUGGCCCUGGUGUCCCCGAGGGUCCCCGUGUCACCCGUGGCCCUGGUGUCCCCCAAGGGUCUUGGUGUCCCCAAAAGUCCCCGUGUCCCCAACCAUCUCAGUGACCCCGAGGGUCUCGGUGUCACCCGGGGUCCCCACGUCACCUGUGGUCCCAGUGACCCCGAGGGUCUGGGUGUCACCCGUGGUCUCGGUGUCACCCCUGGUCUUGGUGUCCCCAAGGAUCUCGUUGUCCCCUGUGGUCUUGGUGUCCCCCGUGGUCUCAGUGUCACCCAUGGUCGCGGUGUCCCCGAGGGUCCGGGUGUCCCCGGGGGUUGGGGUGUCCCCCGUGGUCGCGGUGUCCCCGGGGGUCCCGGUGUCCCCAAGGGUCCGGGUGUCCCCGAGGGUCCGGGUGUCCCCGGGGGUCGGGGUGUCCCCCGCAGUCGGGGUGUCCCCGGGGAGGUGACACUUUUGGCGCAGGAGGCUCCGGUAGCGGGAGGUGGCAGCGGCCACGGCCUCCUGCAGCUCCGCCACCUCCAGCGCCACCGUCACCCCUGGGGGGGCAGGGGGGGGUCAG
RNAcentral lists this long non-coding RNA (2145 nucleotides) under Calidris pugnax (ruff). RNAcentral describes it as "lncRNA (ENSCPUG00000019048.1)". Lineage: Eukaryota; Metazoa; Chordata; Aves; Charadriiformes; Scolopacidae. The record is from RNAcentral.